Molecule: ribosomal RNA, 198 nt
Filed under: uncultured bacterium
Lineage: Bacteria
Description: partial 16S ribosomal RNA
Rfam family: Bacterial small subunit ribosomal RNA
Source: RNAcentral
ACGCUCGACACCUACGGGAGGCAGCAGUGGGGAAUAUUGCACAAUGGGGGAAACCCUGAUGCAGCGACGCCGCGUGAGCGAAGAAGUAUUUCGGUAUGUAAAGCUCUAUCAGCAGGGAAGAUAAUGACGGUACCUGACUAAGAAGCUCCGGCUAAAUACGUGCCGGCAGCCGCGGUAAUCUGAGCGGGCUGGCAAGGC